GCUCCCCAGCGCCCCCCUCCGCCCCGCCUCCCUCCUAGGUGAAGGAAGAUGAUUCCCCCCCCCAUCUUGACCGCCCCCUGCCUUCGCUGCCAAGCACGGACUCCGCCUGCUCCAGCCGACCCGGUACCAGUGGUUGGAUCCAAGAGAAUUCCGGAACCCAAACGGUAAUAGGCACGCUUGGGUGAUUCUUGCCCCCUACUGGUGGCGCGUCCCACUGGCCUUGAGCUGAAAGAAACACUUGGAGUUGAAGGUGUGAGCUCUUCAAGAGAACCUUAGAGGGAAAACGGGGAGGGAAAAAAAAAUAGUCGUGUUAAGAAGAUUGUGAACCUUCCAACUCGGCCUCUGUAUACAUAAGCUCCAGGGAACUCAGAGGCCUGCUAUGCACAGAGCUGCUCUGGUUGGAUGUGCAUUCUAGAAGGAUCACUCUGGAAGCUAUGUAGCAGAUGGACCUAAGAACUGGACUGCAGAUUCCCCGGAUCCUCUCCUGGUGACAAAACCUAACCCUAGCUGACAAAGGAGCAAUAUGGUUUGCAGCCCCAGCGUUGCGGAACAGGAUAGGGAAAACUGGAUUUGGAGAUUUUAUUUUUAAGUAAUCUCCACACCCAGCAUGGGGCUCAAACUCACAACUCGGAGAUCAAAGAGUUGAACACUCAAGGGACGCCUGGAUGGCUCAGCGGGUUAAAGCCCCUGCGUUUGGCUCAGGUCAUGAUCCUCUGCCUUUGGCUC
Long non-coding RNA from Mustela erminea (ermine), 726 nucleotides. RefSeq lists it as uncharacterized. The record is from RefSeq and is a predicted model, not a curated record. The transcript is spliced from 5 exons. Lineage: Eukaryota; Metazoa; Chordata; Mammalia; Carnivora; Mustelidae.